AUUUUUAAAUGCCUAUCAUACCUGUAAAAUACAUAUAUUACAUUGGCUGCAUUCUCUCCAGCUAAUGCUGAAUCUCCUUUCUACCAAGCAUGAACUUCCUUGUUUCUAUGCUUUGAUGUGCCAAUGGCACUAGCUGUGCAUUUUUUUCCCCUUCAUCUGCAACUUUGUGCAUAUACUUGAGGUUUUACUAUUGGGUAAUCAAUGUGCAUACUUGUAACUAAAUUGAAUUACAAGUUAGAAUUCAUUUACUGGUGAG
Molecule: non-coding RNA, 256 nt
Organism: Pelobates cultripes (western spadefoot toad)
Lineage: Eukaryota; Metazoa; Chordata; Amphibia; Anura; Pelobatidae
Source: the annotation of a GenBank genome assembly